This is a long non-coding RNA of Amblyraja radiata (thorny skate), 408 nucleotides long. RefSeq lists it as uncharacterized. NCBI's taxonomy places the organism in Eukaryota, Metazoa, Chordata, Chondrichthyes, Rajiformes, Rajidae. The record is from RefSeq and is a predicted model, not a curated record. The transcript is spliced from 2 exons.
CGCGACACUGACCACCCGAUGUAUUUGUCACUAACAGCUCCGGGCGAAUCCCAGGAGUCCAACGUCUGUAUUGAUGAGACCGACGGGUCGGUGCACGAAGUGGGAGAAUCGUGGAACGGAACCAACUGCGUGGUGUGCAGGUGUAGAAUUGGAAUCUACAGUUGCUGUGAUCGGGCUUUCAGACCAAUCAUGUUCCCUGAAGAUUGUGUCGCAGUUUUGGAUCAUGAAGCUUGUGUCUAUCGAGUCCACUUGAAGGACGACCCAUCUAUCGAAUGUCCCACGUUCGGAAGUGUUGGGAAAUGAGCUGGAAUAAACAGGCAGCUCCCUUCUAAGGUGGAGAUAAUGGGAUACGGGAGCCUUGACUCUUGCAUGUAAUGUCUGUAUAACAAUAAACAUAUUCUGCAGUUG